Molecule: ribosomal RNA, 270 nt
Filed under: uncultured archaeon
Lineage: Archaea
Description: partial 16S ribosomal RNA
Rfam family: Archaeal small subunit ribosomal RNA
Source: RNAcentral
CAGCACCUCAAGUGGUCAGGAUGAUUAUUGGGCCUAAAGCAUCCGUAGCCGGCGCUGUAAGUUUUCGGUUAAAUCUGUACGCUCAACGUACAGGCUGCCGGGAAUACUGCAGCGCUAGGGAGUGGGAGAGGUAGACGGUACUCGGUAGGAAGGGGUAAAAUCCUUUGAUCUAUUGAUGACCACCUGUGGCGAAGGCGGUCUACCAGAACACGCCCGACGGUGAGGGAUGAAAGCUGGGGGAGCAAACCGGAUUAGAGACCCGUGUAGUCC